GGCUACUUUGCCCUAUUUUCUGCCCCAUCCUGUGCCUUCUUUCCUUUUGUCCUUCUCCUGGAUGCUUUCUGCAUCUCUUUUGCUGCAGGAUGUGGUGGCCAUCCCCAUUCUCUGCGAUUUUAAUGAACAUCAGCUGUCUGGGAGAAGACUCCCAACAUCUGUCUUUUUUUUUUUUUUUUUUUUUUUUUGAGACUGGGUCCAGGCUGGAGUGCAGUGCUGCGCCCUGCAACCUCUGCCUCCUGGGUUCAAGUGAUUCUCCUGCUUCAGCCUCCUGAGUAGCUGGGAUUACAGGCACCCACCACCACACCCAGCUAAUUUUUGUAUUUUUAAUAGAGACGGGGUUUCACCAUGUUGACCAGGCUGGUCUUGAACUCCUGACCUCGAGUGAUCCACCCACCUCGGCCUCCCAAAGUGCUGGGAUUGCAGCCAUGAGCCUCCAUGCCCGGCCCCCAACAUCUGUCUUGUUCAAAAAAGAGCCAGCAUGUAGACAGGGACGGACCACACCAGGCAGGGCUGGGGAUGCUGGCCAGGAGAUGGGAUCUGAUCAUCAACUGAAAUGUUACCUGGGAGGUCUUCAGAUUGGCUGCCUCAUCUCCUUUCUCUCCAGGGGAUGCUUGCUAGCACAUGGAUCUUACUUCACCUCUUCUGGACAGUUUCCCUUCCCCCUGGCAGCCCUCACCAGGCUUCUGGGAAGUGAGGGGACAUAGGAAAUGGACUUCACACUAUUACUGAACAGAUGAGAGUCCCUGAAGUCAUGGAUUCAUUUCCUUCCUGAGUAGCCUUGUCACCCUUGUUGUUUCUCUCCACAGGUUUCAAGUUGCCCUAGCAUGCAGGAUGAGAUGGCUUCAGAGAGGAUGGGCAGCCCGCAUCAGAGUGACAGUGGAAAGUACCUUGGGCUUUGUGGUCAGAAGAGCCCAGCUCCAGGGCAGUGUGUUUCCUGAAGCCAUGUGACCUUGAGCAAAUCGCUUUUGUCUUUGACCCUCUGUUUUCUUCUGGGUUAAUGAAAAUAGGGGCGAUGCUUCUUUGCCACAGGUUCAUGACUGCCUGCCACUUCCUCUCUGUUCUCCUGCCUCCUCUGUCUGGAAGACAUGUCCAGUUUCCUCCACUCCUGGAUUCUCCUUGCUUUUGUCCUCAGACCAUCAGAUUCAAGAGAGGCAGUGCAGGUGGAUGGCAAAGGGACCCGGAUACAAAAAGCUGAGUCAGGCCCCGGGCCAGGGCUAACCAUGCGCAGGGCAGAGUCCCUGGGGCUGCAGUUGGUUAUCAUUACUGUUUUCU
RNAcentral lists this long non-coding RNA (1275 nucleotides) under Homo sapiens (human). RNAcentral describes it as "HSALNT0357075". Lineage: Eukaryota; Metazoa; Chordata; Mammalia; Primates; Hominidae. The record is from RNAcentral.